AUUGAACGCUGGCGGCAUGCUCUACACAUGCAAGUCGAACGGUAACAGGCCGCAAGGUGCUGACGAGUGGCGAACGGGUGAGUAAUGCAUCGGAACGUGCCCAGUCGUGGGGGAUAACUACUCGAAAGAGUAGCUAAUACCGCAUACGAUCUAUGGAUGAAAGCGGGGGACCGUAAGGCCUCGCGCGAUUGGAGCGGCCGAUGUCAGAUUAGGUAGUUGGUGGGGUAAAGGCUCACCAAGCCAACGAUCUGUAGCUGGUCUGAGAGGACGACCAGCCACACUGGGACUGAGACACGGCCCAGACUCCUACGGGAGGCAGCAGUGGGGAAUUUUGGACAAUGGGCGCAAGCCUGAUCCAGCAAUGCCGCGUACAGGAAGAAGGCCUUCGGGUUGUAAACUGCUUUUGUACGGAACGAAACGGCUCUGGUUAAUACCCGGGGCUAAUGACGGUACCGUAAGAAUAAGCACCGGCUAACUACGUG
This 482-nucleotide ribosomal RNA is filed under the name uncultured bacterium. Its description in RNAcentral is "partial 16S ribosomal RNA". It matches the Rfam family "Bacterial small subunit ribosomal RNA", at positions 30 to 507 of the family's 1533-position model. The record is from RNAcentral.